Molecule: ribosomal RNA, 496 nt
Filed under: uncultured bacterium
Lineage: Bacteria
Description: partial 16S ribosomal RNA
Rfam family: Bacterial small subunit ribosomal RNA
Source: RNAcentral
AUGCACGCUGGCGGCGUGCCUAAUACCUGCCAGUCGAGCGAACAGAUGAGGAGCUUGCUCCUCUGACGUUAGCGGCGGACGGGUGAGUAACACGUGGAUAACCUACCUAUAAGACUGGGAUAACUUCGGGAAACCGGAGCUAAUACCGGAUAAUAUAUUGAACCGCAUGGUUCAAUAGUGAAAGACGGUUUUGCUGUCACUUAUAGAUGGAUCCGCGCCGCAUUAGCUAGUUGGUAAGGUAACGGCUUACCAAGGCAACGAUGCGUAGCCGACCUGAGAGGGUGAUCGGCCACACUGGAACUGAGACACGGUCCAGACUCCUACGGGAGGCAGCAGUAGGGAAUCUUCCGCAAUGGGCGAAAGCCUGACGGAGCAACGCCGCGUGAGUGAUGAAGGUCUUCGGAUCGUAAAACUCUGUUAUUAGGGAAGAUCAAAUGUGUAAGUAACUAUGCACGUCUUGACGGUACCUAAUCAGAAAGCCACGGCUAACUACGUG